Small nucleolar RNA from Tachyglossus aculeatus (Australian echidna), 138 nucleotides. Lineage: Eukaryota; Metazoa; Chordata; Mammalia; Monotremata; Tachyglossidae. The record is from RefSeq and is a predicted model, not a curated record.
ACCCUCUCAGGAUCACACCUGAAGACUUUCCAGUACACUACCCGUCUCGGCUAUGGGAGGGAGAGUCAAGCAGAGGUAUACCCAUUCCAUUCCUAGCUUGAGCAGCGGCUAGCGAAUGGAAGGCAAUCUGCUACAAGU